CGGAUUGCAGGCUGAAACUCGCCUGCAUGAAGUCGGAAUUGCUAGUAAUCGCGGAUCAGCAUGCCGCGGUGAAUACGUUCCCGGGUCUUGUACACACCGCCCGUCACACCAUGGGAGUCGGAAAUGCCCGAAGUCAGUGACCUAACCGAAAGGAGGGAGCUGCCGAAGGUGGAGCCGGUAACUGGGGUGAAGUCGUAACAAGGUACC
Molecule: ribosomal RNA, 207 nt
Filed under: uncultured bacterium
Lineage: Bacteria
Description: partial 16S ribosomal RNA
Rfam family: Bacterial small subunit ribosomal RNA
Source: RNAcentral